AAGUGUUAUCUUUAUUAGUUAACAGUUAACAAAUGUUUACUGACAAAAAACAUAUGCCUGCAAAACCCGACCGCCAAACAAACAAAACCAGUAAUUGGUUCCCUUAUCGUCCCUAUGAACAACAAAAUACUCCAUGUUUUGUAAAACCUCCCUUAUCGCUCUCUUCCACAUGCACAUCACAUCGGACCCGUUAUGCACGCAUUGAUUGGGUGUAGAUGAAUGCAUGCCCGAGGUUUGGCAGAGUCAACCCUUUGAUCUCGAUAUUUUCGUCGGAACCAGUAUCCUUUUCGAAGUUGGUUAGACAGGCUACGAAAGAAAUUAUCUCGGGAGACCUUACAUCUAGCUAUGGUCAUUUGUUGGAAACCGUGGGACUUAAGGAACCGUGAAGCUCAUGGGCAAAAGGGUUUGCGAGAUGCGAGUUGAGAAGUUGGAGAUAGUACCUUAAUAUCUUUCGGAUGGCAUGCUUUGAGCCGACUAUAUAUUUUCAAAUGCCCCGUUCCGCAGGCGAAGUGGACCCCGCCUGCGAAUGGGAUAGUGAAGAUUAAUUUGAUGCCGCAUUACAGAAUCUCCACCGUGGCCCGAAAUUCCAAGGGAACAUAUCUGGUGGACUGUUGGAACAAUCCCUGGACAUACACUGCAAGGAGUUGAAGGUGGCGAAGCUCAUGCCGCUCUCGAGAAUGCCCGAGUAAACUAAAGGGCUGGCAGUCGAUUAUCAUAGAAGAUGAUUGUUGUCGUCAACUUAUUACGGCGCUGUACGGAGACGACUCUUCCUUCUGCCCUUUUGGGGCUUACUUGGAUGACAUUCGUAAUCAUGCUUUAUCUUUUGUUUCUUGUCGGUUUUUAUUUGUUUCACCUAUUUUUAAUAAGCUAGCUCAUGGCCUGGCUUCAUCCAAGUAAGGUGCCUAAUUAAAUCUCUUUUAAUCUCAAAAAUAAAAAAAUAGACACAACUUUCCAAAUACAAGGAGUUAAGUAAGAAAAAAUAAGAAUAGAUAGGGUAAAGUGAUACGGCCAAAAAGUACAAGGGUGAAAUGGUAAAGUUACAAUUUUUACAAUUUAAAGAUAGAUAAUAUUUUCCACCACGUCUUUAAUAGAAGCGUGCGAGAUAACACGCUAUCUAAGAAGUAUAAAACGUAAAAAUUAUGAAAAGUGCAGACCUUAUUUCUAGGGUUGUGCUUCGUUCACUCUUAAGCGCAGAAGGAUGAAUAGCAAUCCGACAACGGCGGCGACGAUGGCUGGUGCGGCGGCGCAGCUGCAAGAGGGAAUUAAUUUCUUGCUUUCAUGGUGGACUGCGCUUCGUCUUCUCACUCAGUCCAAAGGUAUGUUUCUUUCUUCUAGGUUAAACUUCUGAAUAAACUUUUGAAUGCAAAUUAUUAUAGCUGUAAUUUUAUCUUUACCGCUAGCUUUAAUUUUGUGGAAUUGGGGUAUUAUGAUUUGAAUUUUGGUGUAUUGCGAAUAUUUCGGACGGGGGAGAGUUUUUGCAAGCCUAAUUGGAUUUAAUGUGCCCUAAUUAAUAAUAAAAUUGAGAUUAGACUUUGUUUUUUUUUUCCUCCAUUUUUUGCUGUAAGCAGAGUGAAUUGAUGUUCAAUUUGUUGUUUGAUUUUGGGGAUAAGAGGAAGUAUCUAUUUGCCAUGGGGACGAUAUGCUUUACGAUUUCAUGGAUACUCUCAAUACUGAUGUAGACGGUGGCAGCAUCGAAGAGGUACUUCUAAUUCCUCGUUAUUUAUUCAACUUCAGCUUGUCGGUACGUUUUCAUUUGCAUGCUUACUUAUUACAAGCUACUAGAUUCAAUGAUUUCAAUAUUUAUAAUACUUUGAGGCUAAUGAGUCGAACUUAGAACGAAAGCAGGGGUAGCUAGUUUGAUCUGGAAUUAUGUGAUUCUCUUCGGUCUGCCAUAGACUUUGUUUCGUUUAUUGUGAGAUCGAGUUAUUUCAAAAUAUAGGCUCUGUUUGGAUCAUCGAUAAAAGUCCCGUCUGCACUUACUGGCCGUAUUGACUUUCUACUCUCGUUUUUUUUUUCUAUAUUUUCUUACACGAAUUUUAUUCAGAUAUCAGAUAAAUUGAUGGUAAUGCGUGAAGAAUGUUCAGAAGGUAACUUUGAUUCGAUAAGUGAUUUGCGAGAAACAAAUACUCUUAAUAUGUCUUAUGUCAGACAGGUAACAUCGGUUAACUCUUCGUACUUGAAACUUUUUUUUUAAAUGAAAUGUUCGAGUCUUAUGUGUGUAUUUAGCCAGUUCUGCGGCAUUCAUUUCUACCCUGCCAAUUAAUUUAAUUGAAGAUCCUUAGAAUGUGUUGUCUGUAUUAGUUAACAGUUAACAAAUGUUUACCGACGAAGAAAAGAUAUGCCUGCAAAACCCGACCGCCAAACAAACAAAACUAGUAAUUGGUUCCCUCAUCGUCCCUAUGAACAACUAAUACUACCUGUUUUGUAGAACCUCCUAUUUAUUAUUUAUUUUUUCAGAUAGACGUGUCCAAAAGAAUGAUUUUGCAUUAUUUACCCAAAGAAAAAUAAAUGUUUUGUCAAUUUCUCUUUCAUUUGUGAAAACCAAUUUAAUCUAUAAUACGGAAGCAUCCAAAUCCAUUUGUGGCCAUAAUUGCAAUUUUCAUCGUGUCCUGGAAUUAAAUUUUAUUAUAUACUUGUUUCGCUUUUUUUUUUUUUUAAUUCCUGUAAUUUUGUAUUGGGGAAUCAAUGACGAGGAAGAAAGUGAAGAUGAUACAUUGAGAGACGAUAACUCGUCUGAAUUGAAAGUAGAUGCUCCACAAUCACAAUCAAUUCAUAGUCAAAAGGACUCGGUUAUCCAGCACAUAGACACGAGAGGAACACCUGAAGUUGUCUAUGAAUGGAAGGUAGUAUGCUCCAAGCAUAGUAAAAGUAGAAAAAAAUUGAAGUAACAACUUAUCAACUCUUAAAACAACUUAUUAAAAUCUUAUCAACUGUUUAAAAUAAGCACAUCCAAAAUGGCCCUUAUGAAUUGUGCCUUGUGGUGGUCCAUUGUUUCAAGUUAGGGUGGGACUUAUUAAUACAAUUUUUGUUUAGAGAACUUACUUUAAUACUUUUCAACUGAUUGUUAUACAACAUGCAUCAUUUCAUCUAUUACCAAAAUUAUAAAUAAAAUUUAAAAUGGGUCAAUGAUUAUUAAUUAAUUCAACCAAAUCGGUUGAAAGGACCACGUCAAUAUAAGUUGCAAUAUUGUUUUUUUUUUAGUAAAAUCAAGUCCAUUACAAGGGGAAGUAGGAGAAGGGGGGACUCGAACCCUAGACCGAUUACCCUAUUGGUAAGGCUAGGUACCAACUCUCCUAAUGAGGGUUGGUGAGUUGCAAUAUUGUUCUAGUACGCUACUUUUGGAAUUUCAAUCAAUUCAUGCAUGUGACAUGCCUCCUUCCCCACACAUAUGGAUCUAACUGCUUUUCUAUUUGACAAGAUGCCAUAACUUUGAAAAUUAAUUAAUAUGUAAAGUUGUCAUCUUGAAUUAAUAAAACAAGUUUAAUUUCCAGAACCAGCUUAUUAAUUAGGGAUAAUUAGUGAAAACCCCCCAAUUCAUUUACUUAUAUUAGGGUGGAUAUAAUCUCUUUUUCAUUAUUAGUGAGAACCCCCUACCUUAUAUUAAAUAAUUUAUUUUUUAAUUAAUAUUGUAUUUAACAUUACUAAUAUACCUAAUAUGUCCUUCUGUGUUAUAUUUAAAAUAACCAAACCUAUUUUACGUUCUUUUUAUUUCUCUUAUUUCCCUCUCCCUUUUCUCUCUAUAAACCGCCGCCUCCAACCCUCCCCAUCUCUGCGUUGCUGAUGCCGCCAUCUCCAACCAUCUUCCGUCUCUGUGUCGUCGUCUACUCUCUCCCAUCGGUGUUCCUCCCUCCACCGCCGCGAAAAGAAGGUGGUCUCCACCCCUGAAAUUCUCUCGUCAUGGACGGCAUUAGGGUUUUCGGUAGACGAGACUACGCAGCGGCGCUAGGGUUGAUAUUGCGUUUGAGAUUUCAAUAGAGACCACCGCUAAUAUUAUUUGAUUGUUGUGGUUCUUCUUCUUCUCUGAUUUUUUACCCAAUUCUCGAAUCUCAUUUUUCUUAGUUGGAGAUUUUGGUUGAAUUCUUAUAUUGAAGGCUAAUUUUGUGUUCAAUCAAUAGUAUAAUGGAUGUUUGUUUGUUGUUGAAAUUGUGUUGGUGCUAUUUACAGACAUAUAGUUGUUUUCGUACAACAAUAUAGUUGUUUUCGUACAGUAAUAUAGUUGUUUUCGUACAACAAUAUAGUUGUUUUCGUACAGUAAUAUAGUUGUUUUCGUACAACAAUAUAGUUGUUUUCGUAUAACAAUAUAGUUGUUUUUACUACGUUUUAGUUGAUGUUAAUAAAUAGUUCAUUUAACAAAUAGAAUAGUUGAUUUUGAUAAAUGAGAGUUGUUGGAGAUAUAUAAUUGUUUUAAUAACAGUUGUUUAAUAUAGUUGUUUUUAACAUUAGUCGUUUUAAUAAUAGUUGUUUUAUUGAAAUAUAGUUGUUUUAGCUGAAGACAAAAAAAAUACUAAAAAUAUUUUUUUUUUUAAAUAUAAUAAAAAGUUAUAAAAAAUAUUUGUUUUUAAAUAUUAUUUUUUAAAUAAGAAAUAAAUAAAUAAACGAAAAUUAAAAUUAAAAUAUAAAAAAAUAAAAAGUGCAUCUAAGUAUGGUAUAAUAGGUAGUAAAUAGAGGAAGGGUAAAUUUGAGAAUAAAAAAAAGAUGGGUCUCUCAUUAAUAAAGGAAAAGGAGCUGGGUCCAUGCUUAUUAAAAUAAUGCUUGAGGGGUUCUCACUAAUAGUCCCUAUUAAUUAAGGAGCUAGCCUAUUUGGUUAUUUUAAUUUCAAGAUAAUUUCUAUUCUAAGAACUCAUAUUAUUUUUCAGCGUGUCAUGCACGUGGUUAAAUGACAUCAACCAUACGUUAUUUAAAAUUCUAAUAGCGAAUUACAUAAUACAUGGGUUUUGGAAGUUUGACAAUCAAUUUAUAUAAAAGAAAUAGAUACUGUUUUACAUGGCCCUAAUCUAAUAAAUUAGAUUAAUAAGUCUAUGAUAAUAAACGUAUUAAAAGAAAAAAAAAAAAAAAAAACUAAACAAGAGGUCGACUUUGUAAUCACCAGCUCCACUCAACAGAAAUCGUAAACUAAUGCAAUAUUACUAUACUAACAGUAAUAUUACCGUCAACCACAGUAAUAUUAUUGUGUUACAGUAAUAUAACAGUAAUAGACAGUAAUGUUAUUAUGUUACUCCGUGAAUAACUCAAACAAAACAAAAAACUCAUAAAAUAAUAAUAUUGAUGUUGUUGACAGUAAUAUUAUUGUGUUUACAGUUAUUUUACUGUCAACGAUAGUAAUAUAAUUACGUUGAUUUGUCAACAAAUUACAUAAAUGUAUUGUCAACGGCAGAACAAUUACAUAAAUGUAUUGCAUUGUCAACAACAAUACAAUUACGUUAAUUAACUAUCAUUGACAGUAUAAUUACGUUAAUUUACUGUCAGUGACAGCAAAAUAACGGUCAACGUUUAGCGGCGGACGUAAAAAAAAAAAACAAAAAAAAAACACUAAAAAAAAUCAACACCGGAAUCAAGCGGCGGAAAUAAGAAAAAAAAAAUCGAAAAGUCAACACCGGAAUCCGUCAGCAAAAAAAAAAAUUGGAAAAAAAAAGUCAAAAUUGGAUUUUUGUGGAAAAAAUUGAUUAAAUGGGGGUUACAAUUAGGGACUAUUAGUGAGAACCCCCUCUAUCUUUAUUUUAAUAAGGAUGGAUCCAGCUCAUUUUCUUUAUUAGUGAGAGACCCAUCCUUUUUUUAUUCUCAAAUUUACCCUUCCUCUAUUCACUACCUAUUAUACACUACUUUGAUACACUUUUAUUUUUUUUAUUAUUUUGUAUUUUAAUUUUAAUUUUCGUUUUUUAAUUUAUUUCUUAUUUUAAAAAAGAUAUAUUUUAAAAAAAUAUUUUUUUAAUUUUUUUAUUAUAUUUUUAAAAAAUAUUUGUUUCUAUUUUUUUUUGUCUUCACUUAAAACAACUAUAUUUCAAUAAAACAACUAUUAUUAAAACAACUGUUAUUAAAACAAUAUGAUUAAAACAACUAUAUAUCUCCAACAACUCUCAUUUAUAAAAAUCAACUAUUUGUUAAAUCAACUAUUACAUUCAAUUAAAAAGUAAUAAAAACGACUAUAUUGCUGACGAAAACAACUAUAUUGUUGUACGAAAACAACUAUAUUGUUGUACGAAAACAACUAUAUUGCUGACGAAAACAACUAUAUUGUUGUACGAAAACAAUAUAUUGUUGUACGAAAACAACUAUAUUGAUGUACGAAAACAACUAUAUUGUUGUGCGAAAAUCUCUAUAAAUCUGUAAAUAACACCACACAAUUUCAACAAAAACAAAACCUACAUUGUACUAUUGAUUGAACACAAAAUUAGCCUUUUAUAUAAGAAUUCAACCAAAAACUCCAAUUAAGAAAAUUAUGAUUCAAGAAUUGGAUUCCAAAAAAUAAAAAAAUCAGAGAAGAAGAAGAAGAACAACAACAAUGAAACAAUGUGGCAGUGGUCUGUAUUGAAAUCUCAGACGCAAUAUCAACCCUAGCGCCGCUGUAUAAUCUCGUCUUUCUCCCUAGCGAAAACCCUAACGUCGUCCUUGACGAGAGAAUCCCAGGGGUGAAGACCGUCUUCUUUUCGCGUCGGUGGAGGGAGGAACGCCGUUGGGAGAAGAGAGUAACGAUGGCGGCGCAGAGAUGGAAGAGGGUUGGAGGCGGUGGCAGAACACAGAUGGAAGAGAGUUGGAGGCGGCGAUAUGUAGAGAGAAAAGAGAGAAGAAUAAGAGAAAUAGAGAACGUGAAAUAGGUUUAAUUAUUUUAGAUAUAAUAGGGCAAAUUAGGUACAUUAGUAAUAUCUAAAAUAAUAUUAAUUAAAAAAAUAUUAUUUAAUAUAAGGUGGGGGGUUUUCACUAAUAAUGAAAAUGAGGUUAUAUCCACCUUAAUAUAAGUAAAUGAAUCGGGGGUUUUCACUAAUUAUCUCUUACAAUUAAGAAUUUGGUAUAAAGAGUUGGGGGUAAUAUUGUCAUAUACAUGAAUGUUUCCUUUAUUUAUAAUAAAUAUUAAAGGGAUAAGCUUAUUGGUGAAAGAAAUAUAACCCCUAAACUUAGAAUAAUAAAGAUAUUUGGUUGGGAACUUAUUUUUCUUAUUCGUACAUGUUUCCGUUGCCCCGGGACAUUACUAGGUAUUUUGCUUGCGUUUAAUCUUUCCCGAUUCGAAAUCACAAUCUAUUUAUUAGCUAAAUAUUAAAGCGAUAAACUUAUUAGUGAAAGAAAUAUAUAACCCCUAAACUUAGAAUAAUAAAGAUAUUUGAUUGGGAACUUAUGAACAAAAACCCCUCAAAAAAUUACCCAAUUCGACAUUGAAUCGUAGAAUCAAAUCUAAGAGAUUCGAAUUUGACUAGUCAGUCUCUUUCCAUGUUCAGACAUUCUCGUUUAUCUUAAUAUAAGAUAUUUAUAAAUUUGAUUUCUUUUUUUAAUUUAAAUUUUAUUUUAUUUAUAACCUUAAUGGUGUGGUAAUGUGGUUCCAAAUUUAAUGCCAGAUUCCAGUUUUUGGGGGCCGAAGCCGACCUGACCUGCGGGGACGCGGGUCCUGGAUGGGGCGGAUCUUGAUGGGUUCGGUCCGGGCCAUUACCGGGGUCAGAAUCGGGCUUUUAAUUUAGGGAUUAUUUGAGAAAACCGCUUCAUAUGCCUUUUAUAGUUAGUGUAGGCCCAAAAAAAUUUCUCCUUUUUGAGAUAAAUCCAAAGUUUUAUUUAUCAGCCUUUUUAAUUACGAUUUCUCUAGAAUACCCUUAUGUAUUACCUUGUAUAAAUUUAUGUUUUACUUUUUUUAUUUGACAAAAACCAAUUAUUUAAUAUUAAAUUAAAUUAUAAUAAUUCAAUUACACCCUAACCCUAUCACACGAUAUCCAUCUUUUUUAGUUUUCAUUUCUUCUUCUCUAUUCACGGCUCCACCUUCUUUCUUUUCUCCACCGAGGCCUUUUUCUCUUCUCUCUACCAUCGUUGUGAUAUAGGCAAAAUCUCGUUUCAUUAUGAUAAGUUUUAUCGAUCUCGAUUCAUCGCCGAUGGCAUAUUCAGUCGAAACCCUGCAUUUUCAGUCGAUUCAUCCGGUGUUAACCAACCCUUUUUGCCUCCAUCCCUUGUUCGAAGCUCGGUAAGUUCCAUUUACUCGUAUUUUGAUCAGUAUUCACAAAUCACAGUUUCAAUGGCGGCAUCAUGUUAUUAACUCCUGAUCAUUGUCUGUGUUUUUCCCCCUUUUUUUCUUUUGAUUCAUGGAACUCGGAGUCUAAAAGAUUUGAUUUUUUUGGUUGUAUUCGGAAUUGCUUGAUGACGUCAUUUUAGCUAAUUAAUUCUUAGAAUUAGAUCAGGGCUUCCUUAUUAUAAUAAGAGUCUGCAAAGAGUAAAACUCAAUGCCAUUUGUUUGCUUUUGUUGGUAAUGUUUUCCCCUAAUUUAGUCACAGUAAUUCGUACCUUAGAACUUAGUUUUUCGAAUGUGUUUUAUGGAUGCAUCCUAAUAUCAGUUCUUGGGAGGUUUGGGACAAUGCUGCAGUUUAAUUGGUUCAAAGACGACGGAUUCUAUUCAAUAAAAGUUGUAAAAUCGGGCAUAGAUUUUAUAGUGGAACUUCUUACCUCAGUUAUUCCGGAAAGAUGCCUAUUCGUAAAAGAGGAAUGGUAUAUUCAGUGGCGUUGAAUAUUCGAUGAUUUCCUUUAUAUAUGCUUUCAUUUGUUU
RNAcentral lists this long non-coding RNA (8731 nucleotides) under Erythranthe guttata (spotted monkey flower). RNAcentral describes it as "long non-coding RNA (EGUT_LNC003555)". The record is from RNAcentral. Lineage: Eukaryota; Viridiplantae; Streptophyta; Magnoliopsida; Lamiales; Phrymaceae.